This 798-nucleotide ribosomal RNA is filed under the name uncultured archaeon. RNAcentral describes it as "bacterial SSU rRNA". It matches the Rfam family "Archaeal small subunit ribosomal RNA", at positions 85 to 879 of the family's 1478-position model. The record is from RNAcentral.
ACGGCUCAGUAACACGUAGUCAACCUAAACUUAUGGACGGAAAUAACCUCGGGAAACUGAGGAUAAUGUCCGAUAGAUCAUUAUGCCUGGAAUGGUUUAUGGUCGAAACGAAUAUCGCCGUAGGAUGGGACUGCGAGCUAUCAGCUUGUUGGUGAGGUAAUGGCCCACCAAGGCAAUUACAGCUACGGGCUCUGAGAGGAGUACCCCGGAGAUGGGUACUGAGACAAGGACCCAGGCCCUAUGGGGCGCAGCAGGCGAGAAAACUUUGCAAUGUGCGAAAGCCCGACAAGGUUAAUCUGAGUGGUUUCUGCUAAAGGAACCUUUUGUUAGUCCUAAAAACACUGAUGAAUAAGGGGUGGGCAAGUUCUGGUGUCAGCCGCCGCGGUAAAACCAGCACCUCAAGUGGUCAGGAUGAUUAUUGGGCCUAAAGCAUCCGUAGCCUGUUCUAUAAGUUUCCGGUUACAUCCAUAUGCUCCACAUAUGGGCCGCCGGAAAUACUGUAGAACUAGGGAGUGGGAGAGGUAGACGGUACUCGAUAGGCAGAGGUAAGAUUCUUUGAUCUAUUGAUGACCACCUGUGGCGAAGGCGGUCUACCAGAACACGUUCUACGGUGAGGGAUGUAAGCUGGGGGUAGCUAUACCGGAUUAGAUACCCGGGUAGUCCCAGCUGUAAACGAUGCAAACUAGGUGAUGCGUUGGCUUGUUGCUAGCGCAGUGCCUCAGUGGAAGCCGUUAAGUUUGCCGCCUGGGAAGUACGUACGCAAGUAUGAAUACUUAAAGGUAAUUGGCGGGGGAGCAC